RNAcentral lists this long non-coding RNA (546 nucleotides) under Brassica rapa (field mustard). RNAcentral describes it as "long non-coding RNA (BRAP_LNC005972)". Lineage: Eukaryota; Viridiplantae; Streptophyta; Magnoliopsida; Brassicales; Brassicaceae. The record is from RNAcentral.
UUAAUUUGCAUCAAUUACAUUACUGAAAUAUUUGCUCAUUUUCAUCAGCAUCAAUUUAACUAAAAUAUAUAAAUGUAGUAUCAGUAAUAAGUAAUACUGUUUUGUUUUCUCCGCCAAAUUGAGAAGUGAAAUUUAGCAAAGUGUUGCUCUCGACAAACCCACCGCCUGAGAAGCAAAUAGCGUCUACCAUCAGAUUGCUUCUCACGAUCCUAGGAUUAAAAGUGAGUCUAUAUUGAUUUUUUUAUUUUUUUUUGUUUAAAAUAACUUAUUCGUUUUCAAGAGUGGCCACGUAGUAUUCACAUCGUUCAUGGUUUUCUUUUUCAAUACAGAGAAUGUAUGUAUAUUUUGAUUAAAAAGUGUGAAACCUAUAAAUGAUGUAUAUUCACAUCAGUUACGAUAAAUGAUGAAAGUAAUUGCAUCAUUCGCUACAACUGUUAUAAAGUAUUAGAGUCAUCAUUUCCGGAGUCACUUAUAUUGUUGAUGUAAAUUCAUUCUUGUCAAUCAAAAAAUGAUAUUAACAAAAUCUAUAAAUGAUACACCAAGUCA